Gammaproteobacteria bacterium GWF2_41_13 is the source of this 74-nucleotide non-coding RNA. The record is from Rfam. Lineage: Bacteria; Pseudomonadati; Pseudomonadota; Gammaproteobacteria.
CGGAGCAUAGCGCAGUCUGGUAGCGCACCUGCUUUGGGAGCAGGGUGUCGGGGGUUCAAAUCCCUCUGCUCCGA